RNAcentral lists this ribosomal RNA (263 nucleotides) under uncultured bacterium. Its description in RNAcentral is "partial 16S ribosomal RNA". It matches the Rfam family "Bacterial small subunit ribosomal RNA", at positions 336 to 616 of the family's 1533-position model. The record is from RNAcentral.
CUCCUACGGGGGGCAGCAGUGGGGAAUAUUGCACAAUGGGGGAAACCCUGAUGCAGCGACGCCGCGUGAGUGAAGAAGUAUUUCGGUAUGUAAAGCUCUAUCAGCAGGGAAGAUAAUGACGGUACCUGACUAAGAAGCCCCGGCUAACUACGUGCCAGCAGCCGCGGUAAUACGUAGGGGGCAAGCGUUAUCCGGAUUUACUGGGUGUAAAGGGAGCGUAGGUGGCAGGGCAAGUCAGAUGCGAAAGCCCGGGUCCCACCCCC